Molecule: long non-coding RNA, 3336 nt
Filed under: Bemisia tabaci
Lineage: Eukaryota; Metazoa; Arthropoda; Insecta; Hemiptera; Aleyrodidae
Description: lncRNA ENSASIAIIG006640
Source: RNAcentral
UACGCAAGAAACUAGUGUAGCAACCCCCCCCCCCCCCAAUCCUUCGAUUUGUCCAUAUAGUUCCAGUUGCAAUUUAAAUGCAGCAAAGAGGAAAUAAAGAAAAACAAAUACUUGGAAUAAUUAUAUGACCCGUCAAAAAAGUUGGAGAAUCCUGAACUGCUCCACCUCCAUCAGAUUCUUCUCUGCUCUGGAUCAUUCGCAUAAAAUGUACUUAGACUAUCAGUAUCAACUUCCCUUCCUCUUGUGCUAUUUUUAGGAAUUAUCUUCAUCAAAUAAAAUGAUUGCUUUGCCAUGAAUGGGUCAUGUAUAAGCCGAGCCUGGUUCUGAAGUACCCUCAAAACUUGGAUGAUUUUUUCCCUAAAUACAAUCUAAGUACUGGGAAACAUAAGAAUCAAUUUUCAACGUCCAUCAUGAUAUCCUCGUUGGCAUACUUCAAGAUGAUCCAUUCUGCACACUUGGCUUCAAAUGUGGUUUCAAUGUUGCUUAACUCUCUCUCCGUCACAUCAGACUUGACUCUAAAGACUCCAUAGUUUUCUUCAAAAUUGGUACAACUGCUACUGUAUUGCAGCUCGGAUCCGGUGGGAAUGGACAUUGAAUAUUUACGACUUGACCGUUGUCCACCCUCAUCCACAAAAUCAUUGUCGAUUUCAGGUACUUUACUGUUUAUCAGCAUGAACUUGGGCUCACCUGCUACUUUGAUAAAGUCAGGUAUCCAUUCAGAGACGGAAAUUGUAUCUUGACAUGCUUUCGACAGUGUUUCCGUUUCUGCUGAAUAUUCAGGAUUAACUGCAGUUUCAACACACUCUCUUAAUCUUAGAUGUUUUCUAAAAAGUUUCUUCAUCUGAAACUGGGCUGAACAAAAGUUACAAAUGUAUUUGUUCUGAGAAUGACAGUCUUUUAGAUGUCUAUUAACAGAGUUUUUAAAAGUAAAUUUACUGGGACAAAUCGGGCAUUCAAAUCUCUUUUUAUUGUUGUCAAUCAGUCUUAUUGAUUUUUGUUUACAUGAAUUGCCUUCAAUAUGUGCCUGCAAUAUCCCUUUUUCCUUAAAUUUUUUAGAACACUUAGCACAAGUAAAGCGGUCUCCACUGAAGUGUGACUGCAAGUGUUUCUUCAGUCUCUUUUCUCAUUAAAGUUAGCAAGACAUACCAUACAAACGAACCGGUCUUCUUCAUGUGUUUGUAAGUGUAGUUUGAGGGUGCUUUCUUGAAAAAAUAUUCGAGGGCAUAGUUCACAGCUAAAACUUUUCGGUUCAGAAUGCACACUUCUGAGAUGGCUUAACAAAUCAGCACUCUGAGUGAAUCUAGAGACGCAAAGAUGGCAUGUGAAGGGACUUUCCUCAAGACCUUGGCACUGAUUUUGGUGAGAAGCUGUUAAUAACUUGACUGGGUCUCUAGGAUUAGAGGAAGAAUGUUGUUCCUCAGGACUCUGAGACUGAUUUUGACAAGGGGCUGUCAAUAAUCCAACUUGGUCACUAGGAGUGAAAGAAGUAUCAUUUGGGACAUUUUGAACAUCCAGGGGCUUCUCUUCUGGUUCAUCUUGUGAAUGCAUUUGCGAGUGAUCUUUAAGGCUUCUCUCACAUUUCAUUUUAGAGGGACAGAGCACACAAGAGAAGAGCUUUUCUUCAAUAUGCCCGGGUGCAUGUCUUUGGUAAUCAAUCGCUUCAUUUUUAUUGUGUAAAAGAAGAUGCUCUUCAAUUACUUUCUUACACUCAGAUUGUUUUGGGCGAUAAGGACAAGUGAGUAAGAGUUUUUUGGGAGAGCAGCUCCUUUCAGAAUUUGAUUCCUCUCCUUUGCAGUCUACUAUGGCGUCUGUCUCCUGACUUAAUCCAUUCAUUUUCUUAUGCACGACUGAAUGGCAGUGCAGAGCCCGGAAGGUUCUAAACUUGAGCGAACAAUCUGGGCAACAAUGUCGAUUUUCAUCUUGAGUGAGGCACACACUAUCUUGCUUACCGUUUAAAGUUGGCUUUAACUUUGAUUCAGUAAUAGUAACAGGAUCUUCCAGACCAUCAGAUUCUUUAAUUUCUACUCUUCUUCCAAGGUUAACUCUAACUUCUUUCAGCAACAUUAACUGCUUAGAUUCUGAGCUAGUGGAAGAGCUUUCAGUAGCACUAGCUUUAUGUCUUUCUAAGUGUUUGUGAAAACAUUUUAAAUAUCGAAAUUUUAGAGGACAAUCCGAACAGUGAUAAAACUUGUUCUCAGGAUACAUUUUGAAUCUGGUUUCCUCAGGGAAAUUUUUUAUUUCUGGCUCCUCAAGACCGGAAUUAAAGUUAUGUGUGUGCUGUUUAGAAUGUCUGUAUAAGUCUUCCACUAGGCUAAACUUACGGGGACAUUCAAUGCAGCAGUAUGCCUUAAUAUUAAUGUUCAGUUGAUGUUCUUGAGAUUCCUUUGAAUACUGACACAGCUGUGAAUGAUCUAAAGAAGGUAAUUUUCUCUUCUUGUAGGUGCAUUCAGGCUGGAAUGGUGAACUUUGUCCCACUGCAUUAAAGGAAUUGGAGUGUUCUCGUAAGUGUUGCUGCAAGUCUUUUAAAAAUCGAAACUUCAUUACGCACUCUUCACAAGCAUACUGGUUACGAUAGGACUGCUUUUCCAGCCUUCUCAAACCUCUCUUGCGACUUGAUUCAACAAUAUCACUUGCAGGAGGAGAAUCAUUAACGCGAUGUUCACCUUCAAUCGGAGACUUAUUCUCAACAGUCACUUCCUCCUUUUCAAGACUAAAAAAUGUAUCUUUAGUCAAUGGUGAAAAGUGGCCUACAUCAUUAUCACCUCCAAUUUCUUUUACCUUCAUACAUAAAAUACUCUGAGGAGAAGUAAUAGCUCCAAAGAGCCUGGGGCAGUAUCAGGACUAGAUUUACUUUCCAAAAUCACUUCCUUCAGAGACACAUUUUCACCAUGUACUGUGAAAAUAGUUUUGCUCAUCUUCGUUUCUUCUGUUUCAUUAUUCCUUGUGUCAACUGUAUCAUUGACUGUGUAGUCUGCGUGGUUGAUUUUUUCCUGCCCAGCAUUUGAUGGUAAUCUAGGAAUAUCUUUAAUCAAACUUUGAUCUUUAAAGCUUUCUUCAAUUUCUAUUACAUCAUAUUUUCUUAACUCAGUAUGCUUACCAGAUACAAAACUGAAAUUUUGUCUGUUGUUGAUCCGUUCCAGAAUGAUUUUUGGAGUUUGAAGGUUUCUGAAGAAUGAGAGAUCAGGCUUUUUCUUCACAAUGUUCUCAAGUAUCAUAGGUUUAGGAUACAGCUGACUAGCUUCCGAAAUUCCCACUUUAGUCAUUGCCAUGGUUGGAACCUGUCAAUCAAAUUAAAAAUGAAAUUAUGUUCUAUAAAUGAGCUAUUCAAUGUUGUUU